Amphimedon queenslandica is the source of this 291-nucleotide long non-coding RNA. RefSeq lists it as uncharacterized. Lineage: Eukaryota; Metazoa; Porifera; Demospongiae; Haplosclerida; Niphatidae. The transcript has 4 exons. The record is from RefSeq and is a predicted model, not a curated record.
UAAAGGAUGGCAUGGGAGGCUCUUAAUAAGAGUAUUAAUGAUCUGAUUAACAAGGUUAAUGUGUCAAAUAUUGCCAACAUUGCUAGAUAGUCAGUACAAGAAAAUUUAGUCUGUGGGCGAGGAUAAUUUGCACUUGCAGUCAUUACAGCUCAGUCGGCCUCACCCACCUUUACUAAGGUGUAUGCUACACUUGUUGCUGUCAUUAAUCAUUUGCAAGAAACAACAAGAUUAUUUGUUUGUCGUCUGUCAGUGACUGUAUUACUGGAAGAUCCUACGAGCUACUGGACAACU